AACGCUGGCGGCGUGCCUAAUACAUGCAAGUCGAGCGAACAGACGAGGAGCUUGCUCCUCUGACGUUAGCGGCGGACGGGUGAGUAACACGUGGAUAACCUACCUAUAAGACUGGGAUAACUUCGGGAAACCGGAGCUAAUACCGGAUAAUAUAUUGAACCGCAUGGUUCAAUAGUGAAAGACGGUUUUGCUGUCACUUAUAGAUGGAUCCGCGCCGCAUUAGCUAGUUGGUAAGGUAACGGCUUACCAAGGCAACGAUGCGUAGCCGACCUGAGAGGGUGAUCGGCCACACUGGAACUGAGACACGGUCCAGACUCCUACGGGAGGCAGCAGUAGGGAAUCUUCCGCAAUGGGCGAAAGCCUGACGGAGCAACGCCGCGUGAGUGAUGAAGGUCUUCGGAUCGUAAAACUCUGUUAUUAGGGAAGAACAAAUGUGUAAGUAACUAUGCACGUCUUGACGGUACCUAAUCAGAAAGCCACGGCUAACUACGUGCCAGCAGCCGCGGUAAUACGUAGGUGGCAAGCGUUAUCCGGAAUUAUUGGGCGUAAAGCGCGCGUAGGCGGUUUUUUAAGUCUGAUGUGAAAGCCCACGGCUCAACCGUGGAGGGUCAUUGGAAACUGGAAAACUUGAGUGCAGAAGACGUAGUUAGCCGUGGCUUUCUGGUUAGGUACCCGUCAAGGUACCGCCCUAUUCGAACGGUACUUGUUUUCUUCCCUAACAACAGAGCUUUACGUGCGAAAGCGUGGGGAUCAAACAGGAUUAGAUACCCUGGUAGUCCACGCCGUAAACGAUGAGUGCUAAGUGUUAGGGGGUUUCCGCCCCUUAGUGCUGCAGCUAACGCAUUAAGCACUCCGCCUGGGGAGUACGACCGCAAGGUUGAAACUCAAAGGAAUUGACGGGGACCCGCACAAGCGGUGGAGCAUGUGGUUUAAUUCGAAGCAACGCGAAGAACCUUACCAAAUCUUGACAUCCUCUGACCCCUCUAGAGAUAGAGUUUUCCCCUUCGGGGGACAGAGUGACAGGUGGUGCAUGGUUGUCGUCAGCUCGUGUCGUGAGAUGUUGGGUUAAGUCCCGCAACGAGCGCAACCCUUAAGCUUAGUUGCCAUCAUUAAGUUGGGCACUCUAAGUUGACUGCCGGUGACAAACCGGAGGAAGGUGGGGAUGACGUCAAAUCAUCAUGCCCCUUAUGAUUUGGGCUACACACGUGCUACAAUGGACAAUACAAAGGGCAGCGAAACCGCGAGGUCAAGCAAAUCCCAUAAAGUUGUUCUCAGUUCGGAUUGUAGUCUGCAACUCGACUAUAUGAAGCUGGAAUCGCUAGUAAUCGUAGAUCAGCAUGCUACGGUGAAUACGUUCCCGGGUCUUGUACACACCGCCCGUCACACCACGAGAGUUUGUAACACCCGAAGCCGGUGGAGUAACCAUUUGGAGCUAGCCGUCGAAGGUGGGACAAAUGAUUGGGGUG
RNAcentral lists this ribosomal RNA (1466 nucleotides) under Staphylococcus epidermidis. Its description in RNAcentral is "bacterial SSU rRNA". It matches the Rfam family "Bacterial small subunit ribosomal RNA". Lineage: Bacteria; Bacillati; Bacillota; Bacilli; Caryophanales; Staphylococcaceae. The record is from RNAcentral.